UUGGUUAGAGCGCGCGCUUGAUAAGCGUGAGGUCGGAAGUUCAAGUCUUCCCAGGCCCACCACACUCAUCGAGUGAGCAUUCGUCUUCUGGUUACGGGGCCAUAGCUCAGCUGGGAGAGCGCGUGCUUUGCAAGCAUGAGGUCGUCGGUUCGAUCCCGUCUGGCUCCACCAGAUGGUUUGAUCACCGACUACUCAUACCGUCGUCCGCGAAACAUCACUUCGCACUUACUAGUCCGGAUGGACAGUAAGCUGCGUGAUUUCUGACAUCGUAAAGAGGAGAUCGAUCCGAGUUGGAUCGGGCAACAAGUAAUUGUUGCGCGAUACUUCAUUAUCUCCGGAUCAUUUCGGCGCUCGUGCGUCUUCCAGGGUAGCUCACAAGGCUGCGUCUGAAGGACACGCGAGUUGUAAAUGAUCCUUUUAGCGAAGCUUGACCGCCUCGCUAUCGGAACGAUCUUACGAAGCAAGCUGGUCUUUCUAAUCAUUGUCCGGCUGCAGAUAGCGUUCAUCGAGGGCGCGUGCCUUAGAGACUUAGGUUUCUUGGCAAUUCUGCAGACAACAUUCUGCCGAGUGUGUGGACAUUGAUAAUGAGAGCAAUCAAGUGCCUUAAGGGUGUUCGGUGGAUGCCUUGGCGCUGAGAGGCGAUGAAGGACGUGCUACGCUGCGAUAAGCCGUGGGGAGCUGCGAAGAAGCUUUGAUCCAUGGAUUUCCGAAU
RNAcentral lists this unclassified non-coding RNA (712 nucleotides) under Bradyrhizobium sp. Its description in RNAcentral is "partial contains 16S-23S ribosomal RNA intergenic spacer and 23S ribosomal RNA". The stretch from base 593 to 712 matches the Rfam family "Bacterial large subunit ribosomal RNA", at positions 1 to 119 of the family's 2925-position model. Lineage: Bacteria; Pseudomonadati; Pseudomonadota; Alphaproteobacteria; Hyphomicrobiales; Nitrobacteraceae. The record is from RNAcentral.